GUUUUUUUGUUCAUUGUUUUUUAUAUAGCUUACCGCUCAUGCCAAGUGGUAUUCUUAAUUCUUUUAUAAUUAGGAUUAGGAUAUUUCAGCCUAAACUUAUCAGACACAUGCGACUGAUGCACAAGCACAAAUAUUACAUGUUGUAUUCAUCGCUGGGAACUCUUGAAGGACGCGUUUGGUUGACAUCUUAACAAAUGUCUGCAUUGCAUACUUGUCUCGGGCAAAAAACCAACAUCUACACUUAGUUUGAUUGUCUGCAUUGAGACUGCCUGCAUUAGGAAAUCGGUUUUUGCAUGGUGUUUGGUGUCAUGCAUUGGCUCGGCACAUGCAACUAAACGGUAUUUGAUUAUGAGAACUGCUAUACAGACGACAUUCACAGACGAUUUCAGCACGACACUCCAUCUCACACCAUCCAUUCAAGACACCAAUGUACAGAAAGUUGUUGGAUUUGGAAUCGGCUCAGGAUCGUGCAAGCAAAUAUCGUCUGUGAAGAAGUUUCGUUUGAUUAUAUACAUGGGUGAUAGCUAACAUCUACACAUAACACACAAUUACUCG
This 555-nucleotide long non-coding RNA is filed under the name Triticum aestivum (bread wheat). Its description in RNAcentral is "long non-coding RNA (TAES_LNC010673)". Lineage: Eukaryota; Viridiplantae; Streptophyta; Magnoliopsida; Poales; Poaceae. The record is from RNAcentral.